This 492-nucleotide ribosomal RNA is filed under the name uncultured bacterium. Its description in RNAcentral is "partial 16S ribosomal RNA". It matches the Rfam family "Bacterial small subunit ribosomal RNA", at positions 29 to 507 of the family's 1533-position model. The record is from RNAcentral.
AGUGAACGCUGGCGGUAGGCCUAACACAUGCAAGUCGAACGGCAGCACAGUAAGAGCUUGCUCUUACGGGUGGCGAGUGGCGGACGGGUGAGGAAUACAUCGGAAUCUACUUUUUCGUGGGGGAUAACGUAGGGAAACUUACGCUAAUACCGCAUACGACCUACGGGUGAAAGCAGGGGAUCUUCGGACCUUGCGCGAUUGAAUGAGCCGAUGUCGGAUUAGCUAGUUGGCGGGGUAAAGGCCCACCAAGGCGACGAUCCGUAGCUGGUCUGAGAGGAUGAACAGGCACAGUGGAACUGGGAGAAGGUCCAGACUACUACGGGAGGCAGCAGUGGGGAAUAUAGGACAAUGGGCGGAAGCCUGAUCCUGACAGACCGAAUGAAAGAGGAAGGCCUUAGGGUUGUGAAGCCCUUUUGUUGGGAAAAAAAAACAGGAGGUUAAAGGGCGGAUGUUAUGACGGUACCCAAGGAAUAAGCACUGGCGAACUUCGUG